Molecule: ribosomal RNA, 253 nt
Filed under: uncultured bacterium
Lineage: Bacteria
Description: partial 16S ribosomal RNA
Rfam family: Bacterial small subunit ribosomal RNA
Source: RNAcentral
UACGAAGGGGGCUAGCGUUGCUCGGAAUGACUGGGCGUAAAGGGCGCGUAGGCGGUUUGCACAGUCAGGUGUGAAAUUCCUGGGCUUAACCUGGGGGCUGCGCUUGAUACGUGUGGACUGGAGUGCGGAAGAGGGUCGUGGAAUUCCCAGUGUAGAGGUGAAAUUCGUAGAUAUUGGGAAGAACACCGGUGGCGAAGGCGGCGCUCUGGACCGAGACUGACGCUGAGGCGCGAAAGCGUGGGGAGCGAACAGG